Molecule: ribosomal RNA, 465 nt
Filed under: Vreelandella stevensii
Lineage: Bacteria; Pseudomonadati; Pseudomonadota; Gammaproteobacteria; Oceanospirillales; Halomonadaceae
Description: partial 16S ribosomal RNA
Rfam family: Bacterial small subunit ribosomal RNA
Source: RNAcentral
CCUACGGGUGGCUGCAGUGGGGAAUAUUGGACAAUGGGCGAAAGCCUGAUCCAGCCAUGCCGCGUGUGUGAAGAAGGCCUUCGGGUUGUAAAGCACUUUCAGUGGGGAAGAAAGCCUUGGGGCUAAUACCCUCGAGGAAGGACAUCACCCACAGAAGAAGCACCGGCUAACUCCGUGCCAGCAGCCGCGGUAAUACGGAGGGUGCGAGCGUUAAUCGGAAUUACUGGGCGUAAAGCGCGCGUAGGCGGUCUGAUAAGCCGGUUGUGAAAGCCCCGGGCUCAACCUGGGAACGGCAUCCGGAACUGUCAGGAUAGAGUGCAGGAGAGGAAGGUAGAAUUCCCGGUGUAGCGGUGAAAUGCGUAGAGAUCGGGAGGAAUACCAGUGGCGAAGGCGGCCUUCUGGACUGACACUGACGCUGAGGUGCGAAAGCGUGGGUAGCAAACAGGAUUAGAUACCCUGGUAGUC